UCACUACGGAAUAGCUCCGGGAAACUGGAAUUAAUACCGUAUACGCCCUCCGGGGGAAAGAUUUAUCGGUGAAAGAUCGGUCCGCGUUAGAUUAGAUAGUUGGUGGGGUAAUGGCCUACCAAGUCUACGAUCUAUAGCUGGUCUGAGAGGAUGAUCAGCCACACUGGGACUGAGACACGGCCCAGACUCCUACGGGAGGCAGCAGUGGGGAAUCUUGCACAAUGGGCGAAAGCCUGAUGCAGCCAUGCCGCGUGAAUGAUGAAGGCCUUAGGGUUGUAAAAUUCUUUCGCUAGGGACGAUAAUGACGGUACCUAGUAAAGAAGCCCCGGCUAACUUCGUGCCAGCAGCCGCGGUAAUACGAAGGGGGCUAGCGUUGUUCGGAAUUACUGGGCGUAAAGCGCGCGUAGGCGGACUAACAAGUUGGAUGUGAAAUCCCAGGGCUCAACUCUGGAACUGCAUUCAAAACUGUUAGUCUAGAGGCCAGGAGAGGUCAGUGGAAUACCGAGUGUAGAGGUGAAAUUCGUAGAUAUUCGGUGGAACACCAGUGGCG
Molecule: ribosomal RNA, 550 nt
Filed under: uncultured bacterium
Lineage: Bacteria
Description: bacterial SSU rRNA
Rfam family: Bacterial small subunit ribosomal RNA
Source: RNAcentral